Non-coding RNA from Picea glauca (white spruce), 117 nucleotides. Lineage: Eukaryota; Viridiplantae; Streptophyta; Pinopsida; Pinales; Pinaceae. The record is from Rfam.
AUGUAAUUCCUACACCAUUGAUGCAUUGAAUCCCAUUAGAAAUCUAUAGUUAAGUGCACUUGGGCUAGAGUAGUACUAGGAUGGGUGAACUCCUGGGAAGUCCUUUUGUUUUAUAUG